This 339-nucleotide unclassified non-coding RNA is filed under the name soil metagenome. Its description in RNAcentral is "partial contains 5.8S ribosomal RNA, internal transcribed spacer 2, and large subunit ribosomal RNA". The stretch from base 1 to 120 matches the Rfam family "5.8S ribosomal RNA", at positions 35 to 154 of the family's 154-position model. The record is from RNAcentral.
GAUGAAGAACGUAGCGAAAUGCGAUAAGUAGUGUGAAUUGCAGAAUUCAGUGAAUCAUCGAAUCUUUGAACGCACAUUGCGCCCCUCGGUAUUCCGUGGGGCAUGCCUGUUCGAGCGUCAUUUAACCCCUCAAGCCUAGCUUGGUAUUGGGUGCUUGUCCCGCCUCUCGCGCGGCGACUCACCUCAAAGUCAUUGGCAGCCCGCAUCUCGCCGGCCGUGAGCGCAGCACAGACGCGCUCUUGGCAACGACGGAUCGGCUCUCCAAAAGCUUAUUUCAACCACUGACCUCGGAUCAGGUAGGGAUACCCGCUGAACUUAAGCAUAUCAAUAAGCGGAAGA